RNAcentral lists this unclassified non-coding RNA (3865 nucleotides) under Pogonomyrmex barbatus (red harvester ant). Its description in RNAcentral is "e3 ubiquitin-protein ligase Nedd-4, transcript variant X1". Lineage: Eukaryota; Metazoa; Arthropoda; Insecta; Hymenoptera; Formicidae. The record is from RNAcentral.
UGUUUGCUUUGUACGUUUUAUUUGCAAAUGCAAAAUGAAUAACUUAUGAGGAUAUGGCUAGUAAUCAUUCCAGUCAGCGGUCACGAGUUAAAGGAACGUUGGAACUCUAUCACGCAUACAUUUCCGACUCAUCUAGUAUUGAAAAUGAUAACGGAGACGUAUCUGAUUCGGGCGGAUGGGAAUUAGUACAGCCAGAGAGUAACAGUCCAAUAGAACAAAGCGCAGAUAUUACGAUGGUUAAUAGGCCAUUACCACCAGGAUGGGAAGAAAGACAGGACGCAAAUGGUCGUACAUACUAUGUUAAUCAUAUAGCGCGUUUCACGCAAUGGGAACGACCAGAACCAGAUACAACAGCGACAAGUGGAAUUGUUGAACAACGUAAUCUGGAUACAGCAGCUACUGAAUUUCAACGACGAUUUCAUAUUAGUGCUGAUGAUGAAGGCAGACAUAGAAAUUCUGUAGUAAAUCAAGAUGGUGAAGUUCUACGCGAGGACGAUGAAGAUUCGGAAGCAAGAGAUUGUGAGGGUGGGGAUCAUAAGGGAGGGGGUAUUGGGGAUACUUCUUCAGACUCCGGACGUUCUGUCGAUCAACGUGGCUACCUUAGUGAAUCUGAAGAACAGACUGAUGAUAAUGUCGAUAGUCCGGCUGGUUCGAGACGUUCAUCAGAACAGAUUGAAAGUCCCAAACCUACUCUUCCUGUGUCUAAUGAUGAAGGAUUACCUCCUGGUUGGGGUAUGCAAGUAGCACCUAAUGGUAGAAUAUUUUUUAUUGAUCAUAAUGAGAGAGCGACAACCUGGAUUGAUCCCAGAACCGGAAGACCAAGCUCUAUACCUAAUCAUAUUGCACCAUCAACAACAUCAAGAAAUGACUUAGAUCAAUUAGGACCUCUUCCAGAAGGAUGGGAGGAAAGAGUACAUACCGAUGGACGAAUCUUUUUUAUAGAUCAUAAUACGAGAACAACACAAUGGGAAGAUCCACGUAUGUCUAAUCCUCAAAUUGCUGGCCCAGCUGUACCAUAUUCCAGGGAUUACAAACGUAAAUAUGAAUAUCUGAAAUCACAAUUGAGAAAGCCUAACAAUGUUCCUAAUAAGUUUGAAAUAAAAGUUGGACGGAAUAAUAUUUUGGAAGACUCGUAUCGUAUCAUAAGUUCUGUUAACAGAGUUGAUAUUCUAAAAACAAAAUUAUGGGUAGAAUUUGAAGGAGAGGUAGGUUUAGAUUAUGGUGGCCUUGCAAGAGAAUGGUUCUUCUUAUUGUCUAAAGAAAUGUUUAACCCAUACUAUGGACUUUUCGAGUAUUCUGCAACAGAUAAUUAUACACUGCAAAUUAAUCCUUGCUCUGGUGUAUGUAACGAGGAACAUUUGAAUUACUUUAAGUUUAUUGGACGUAUAGCAGGAAUGGCUGUUUAUCAUGGCAAGCUUUUGGAUGCUUUCUUUAUUCGACCAUUUUAUAAAAUGAUGUUGGGCAAGCCAAUCGAUCUAAAGGAUAUGGAGAGUGUUGAUUCUGAAUAUUACAAUUCUCUUCUGUGGAUUAAAGAGAAUGAUCCUAGUGAAUUAGAACUCACUUUUAGUCUUGAUGAAGAAAGCUUUGGUCAUACUUCCCAAAGAGACUUAAAGCCAGAUGGUGCUAAUAUUCCUUUGACCGAUGAAAAUAAGGACGAGUAUAUAAGUUUAGUUAUACAAUGGCGAUUUGUAUCUCGCGUACAAGAACAAAUGAAUGCUUUCUUAGAAGGUUUUAAUGCUCUUAUACCGCCAACAUUGGUAAAAAUAUUUGAUGAACAUGAACUAGAGUUGUUAAUGUGUGGUAUACAGCAUAUUGAUGUGAAAGACUGGAAACAAAAUACUUUAUAUAAAGGGGACUAUCAUGCAAAUCAUAUUGUUGUACAAUGGUUCUGGAGAGUCGUUUUGUCAUUCAGUAAUGAAAUGCGUUCUAGAUUAUUACAGUUUGUGACUGGCACAUCACGUGUUCCAAUGAAUGGAUUCAAAGAACUUUAUGGCAGUAAUGGACCACAGUUAUUUACAAUUGAGAGGUGGGGUACACCAGAGAAUUACCCAAGAGCUCAUACUUGUUUUAAUCGUAUUGACCUUCCUCCGUAUAAAAGUUAUCAACAACUCAGGGAUAAGCUAGUUAAAGCAAUUGAAGGUUCUCAAGGUUUUGCUGGAGUCGACUAGCACGAAAUACCUUUGUUCAUGAUGAUAUCUGUAAUAUAAUGUAUAUAUUACAUAUAUUUCAUAUAGAGGUUAUAUCAUUAAUGUUACCUUGCUUCUUCUUCUGAGUUUGUAAUAACUUAAGGAUGUCUGUUGUGCUCAGGUAGCAUAAUUAUAUAUACUAUAUUAAUUGAAGGAACAAAUUGUUUAUAACAUUGUUUCCCAGAAAUCUUAUCAUUGUGUAUAUUUUGUCAAUAUUUUGGUGCAACAACACUCAAUAGUCUUGAAAAUAAUAUAAAUGUUGCUCCUUGUUAAAAAUCGAAGAUGAUGAAAUUAAUGUCAGAUGCGAAUGCCUAUCUUGUAUUAUAACAUUUAUUCACAGAAUUAACGUACAUUCUGAAGGAUACGGAGUUGAUAUAACAUUCCAUCCUAUUUGUACAGCUUAUUUUAUUGUAAACAGGUACGUCCCGUUAGAUAAUAAAUAAUAUUGUCAUGACAGAAAUUUUGUGGCCUUAAAUUCUGGUUAUGAAAUUUCUUAUUUUAAUAAGUCUCUCGUUCGUAAAAUCUAGAUUCGUACGAUAGUGAAAUGCGCCAAUUAUUCGUCGGUAGGUGAAUAUCCUUUUGUACUCCUUCAUCUUCAUAUUAGAUUUGCAGAGAAAUGUGUAUAAGUUUACAUUUAAUAUGUUAGUACUUGUUAGCUUGCAGAUAAUAAGCUUUAUCCAGUGUAAUCUAAUAUGUUAUGAAGUGCGUAUAAGACCGUAAAUUCAUAGAACAAUGAACAAUCAGCGCGUGAUCCAAUCUUCAUGAUUUAUAAUGAAGAUUGAAUACAGAACAAAAUUAUUAUUAUGCAGUGCAGUGUUCUUAAAAUCUAUCUUUCAGAAUCGGUCUCUUUAUAUUAAUGCUUUACAUUUAAUUUUUAAAAUAUGAUUAAAUAUAAAUUGUGAGAUAUAACGAGAUGGAUUAAUUUUUUUGUUUCAAUGUAUUGACAUGCAUAUAUAUCAUUUAUCAUAUAAAUUAAUAAUUUGACUAAUAAUGGUUAGAAGCGAAUAAGUAUUAUAUAUAGUUAAUGUUAGAUGGAUUUAUUAGAACACUAGUCACAAUGUAAUGCGGACGAUGCGAGAGACUCGUAAAUUUUGUAAUCGUAGUUUGAGUAUGCUCUAUAGCUCUUAUAGCUUCUUGUAUUAUAUUCCUAUAAAGAAAAAAAGAUGAUAAAUACGAAAAAGAAGUAUAUGAAUGAUAAGAUAUUUAAUGAAUUUAAUAAUUGCAUUUGGUAUCCAAUGUAUUAUGUAACAUUUUUACAGACAACGUGUUAAAAUUGUAUUUACUUGUAAAUCGAUGAUAUAAAAAAUUUAAAUGUAGGUAUUAUCGGAUAGAUGUUUUGUUUGAAAAUGACCGCAUUUAUGCUUGAUCUAUAUAAAUAGCCCGUAAAACUUAAUGCCUUACGAUAAUUAUAUCACGCAUUAGAAUGUAUCUACUUAACGUUUGCAAUUAUUAUUUACUGAUGUAAUAAUAUGUUGACUUUACUACUGCGUCAGAUAGCUAUUAUUUGUCGGUACACUUUAUGUGUCUAUAUUCAUAUGUCUUUUCACUACCAAUGCCUUAUUUAAUUUAGGAAGGAGACUUAAUUAUUUUAAGCUAGCUCAAUGUGGUACAGAACAUAUUUUAUUUACAUAUACUUAUGUGCACGAACUGAAAUAAAUGCGUGACUUAAUUACGUUACA